This 205-nucleotide unclassified non-coding RNA is filed under the name Hevea brasiliensis (rubber tree). The record is from RNAcentral. Lineage: Eukaryota; Viridiplantae; Streptophyta; Magnoliopsida; Malpighiales; Euphorbiaceae.
UAUGUGUUAUGUCCCCUUUUGUUGCUUGUUUCAAUUUCUGAUUGCAAUUUUUUUGCCCUUUCCUUUUGUGAUUUUCAUUUUUUAAAAAAUCUAAGUUAUCUGCCAAAACGCUCCAUGUGUAUCUGCAUAAGGGUCUCCUCUGUUUUUGUUCUGUGACAUUGGUUUUUUCUGCUCUCUCUCUCUCUUUCCAAUCUUUUUAAUAGCU